This 63-nucleotide transfer RNA is filed under the name Lycorma delicatula (spotted lanternfly). RNAcentral describes it as "tRNA-Val". Lineage: Eukaryota; Metazoa; Arthropoda; Insecta; Hemiptera; Fulgoridae. The record is from RNAcentral.
CGGACUUUGGUUUAUUCUUAUUUACAAUAAGAUUUAUUACUGUUCAAUUCAGUUGAGUCUGAU